GACGAACGCUGGCGGCGUGCUUAACACAUGCAAGUCGAACGAUGACGACCGAGCUUGCUCGGUCUGAUUAGUGGCGAACGGGUGAGUAACACGUGAGCAACCUGCCCUUCACUCUGGGAUAACCUCGGGAAAUCGGGGCUAAUACCGGAUAUGAGCUCCUGUCGCAUGGCGGGUGUUGGAAAGUUUUUCGGUGAAGGAUGGGCUCGCGGCCUAUCAGUUUGUUGGUGUGGUAGUGGCUCACCAAGGCGAUGACGGGUAGCCGGCCUGAGAGGGCGACCGGCCACACUGGGACUGAGACACGGCCCAGACUCCUACGGGAGGCAGCAGUGGGGAAUAUUGCACAAUGGGCGAAAGCCUGAUGCAGCGACGCCGCGUGAGGGAUGACGGCCUUCGGGUUGUAAACCUCUUUCAGCAGGGAAGAAGCGAAAGUGACGGUACCUGCAGAAGAAGCGCCGGCUAACUACGUG
This 467-nucleotide ribosomal RNA is filed under the name uncultured bacterium. Its description in RNAcentral is "partial 16S ribosomal RNA". It matches the Rfam family "Bacterial small subunit ribosomal RNA", at positions 28 to 507 of the family's 1533-position model. The record is from RNAcentral.